Molecule: signal recognition particle RNA, 558 nt
Filed under: Kazachstania africana CBS 2517
Lineage: Eukaryota; Fungi; Ascomycota; Saccharomycetes; Saccharomycetales; Saccharomycetaceae
Description: Fungal signal recognition particle RNA
Rfam family: Fungal signal recognition particle RNA
Source: Rfam by way of RNAcentral
GGCUGUAAUGGCUUUUGGUGGAACUGCGCAACUUUGGGAUAUCCGGCUUGGGAACGAAACUUCCCUGCGGCUGGACAUGGAAUGCCGUUCUUCGUGAACAAGGAGCAAAUCUCGGUUUGUUCUGCGCCAUGACCCUAUUGCUUCAACUGUCUUCUCGGUGUCGCCAUUAGAACUUGUUCCGUGUUAGCACCAUAUCUACACAGGCAACUGUGUGGUGGAAGUGCAUCAUGUGAGGCGCUGAGCUCCUAGGUUAACGUGUCCCGGUUUAACCAACCAAUCGAUCCUUGCGGGUUUGCUCUUGGGCUGAAGGUAUGAGAAGUCUGCCUGAGGCCUGAUGCGGCAAAGUAAAUUGGCUUCGGCCUCGCAUUCACCGCCAUUAGGGGAGUUUAAUCCAGCGAUGGCAAAUGUGACCCGUGAUGGAGGCGACCGGGUUAGCACUGUUCUUGGGGGAAUUGUUCAAGUCUGGCCUCUCGGGGCUUAAACUGGCAGUGGAGUUAGGUAUUGCCUGCCUUCAAUGAAAUCAGAGAUUUCUCUGGUGGAGUGCAAUGAACCACAAUU